Molecule: ribosomal RNA, 497 nt
Filed under: uncultured bacterium
Lineage: Bacteria
Description: partial 16S ribosomal RNA
Rfam family: Bacterial small subunit ribosomal RNA
Source: RNAcentral
GAUGAACGCUGGCGGCGUGCCUAAUACAUGCAAGUCGAGCGAACAGACGAGGAGCUUGCUCCUCUGACGUUAGCGGCGGACGGGUGAGUAACACGUGGAUAACCUACCUAUAAGACUGGGAUAACUUCGGGAAACCGGAGCUAAUACCGGAUAAUAUAUUGAGCCGCAUGGUUCAAUAGUGAAAGACGGUUUUGCUGUCACUUAUAGAUGGAUCCGCGCCGCAUUAGCUAGUUGGUAAGGUAACGGCUUACCAAGGCAACGAUGCGUAGCCGACCGGAGAGGGUGGUCGGCCACACUGGAACUGAGACACGGUCCAGACUCCUACGGGAGGCAGCAGUAGGGAAUCUUCCGCAAUGGGCGAAAGCUUGACGGAGCAACGCCGCGUGAGUGAUGAAGGUCUUCCGAUCGUAAAACUCUGUUAUUAGGGAAGAACAAAUGUGUAAGUAACUAUGCACGUCUUGACGGUACCUAAUCAGAAAGCCACGGCUAACUACGUG